This 149-nucleotide ribosomal RNA is filed under the name Williamwhitmania taraxaci. RNAcentral describes it as "23S rRNA. Bacterial LSU". It matches the Rfam family "Bacterial large subunit ribosomal RNA", at positions 2761 to 2925 of the family's 2925-position model. Lineage: Bacteria; Pseudomonadati; Bacteroidota; Bacteroidia; Bacteroidales; Williamwhitmaniaceae. The record is from RNAcentral.
GGGAUAAGCGCUGAAAGCAUCUAAGCGCGAAGCCCCCCCUAAGAUGAGGCCUCCCUUGAGGGGCGUUGGAGACUACGACGUUGAUAGGCUGUAGGUGUAAAGCUGGUAACAGCAAAGCCGAGCAGUACUAAUACCCCGAACGACUUCCG